AAUUUACGCGUUCGACCCGCGUAACGUCAUUUCCGACUUUUCUAUGACAGAUACAUGUGCAUCAUAGAUGAUAUAGUCGUCCGUUUUUGAUCAAACUAACAUUGGUACAUACUGAAUAAGAAUGUGAACUACACUUCAGUUCCACAAUUCAUCGCUACUGGAAAACAUAACAAAAUCAUCGGAUACGCCAGCAGAGCCAACUGCUUCGGCUGCAAAGUCGACGAUCUCCCGACUCUCUCGCGCGCGAUCACUCUCUAAAUAAUUUAGGCUGAUGAAAAUUCAAUGACAAUGUCAUUUUUAAUAAAUAGGUGAUGAUUUUUGAAGGAAAUUCAUCAAAUUCUUGCCGACUGCUAAGCCGACGCUCUCAUUCGGCGAGCGCAUAAGCAUCAUAAGAAACUAUGAAUUUGUGACAUGCAGAGACAAAUUAUGCACAUAUGUAUGUACAUACAUAGGUACAUAGGUACAUAGUGAACGAGCAAAAGGAAAAUAAUACUAAGAGAAAGAAAUAGACUAACGCAUUCCUUUUCUAAAAGGCACAUUUUUUCGCCCUUUUUCGCGAAAUCACUUGCGAUUUGAUUUUUGUGAGAAGCAAACGCGAUUUUUAUUGAGUGCCAGUUUCGAAGAAAAUAGUAAGAAAAUUAUUUUAAAUUAAAUUUUUAAUUAUCUUCAAAUUUAAUUCAUCAAUUUUGUGAGAAGCAAACGCGAUUUUAAUUGAGUGCCAGUUUCAAAGAAAAUAGUUAAUUGAACAUGGGACUAUUUUUCAACGCUUAUGGGACUAUGGACCAAAACCCGUAGGAGAAGACGCUGAAAACUCCGAAAUUAUAUAUGUACUAAAAGUUAUGAAAAAGCGAUGGAUAUUUCAGACUCUUCAAAAAUGAGCGGGGACCUAGUGUUUAAAAUUUGGUGAAAGAGCUAUGAAUAAUAUGAUGAUUUGUUCGUUAAAAUGUGCACAAGCAGCAGUAAAAAAAGAUGAUUUUGCGCUC
This is a long non-coding RNA of Drosophila erecta, 983 nucleotides long. RefSeq lists it as uncharacterized. The record is from RefSeq and is a predicted model, not a curated record. Lineage: Eukaryota; Metazoa; Arthropoda; Insecta; Diptera; Drosophilidae. The transcript is spliced from 2 exons.